This 21-nucleotide microRNA is filed under the name Selaginella moellendorffii. RNAcentral describes it as "smo-miR1096". Lineage: Eukaryota; Viridiplantae; Streptophyta; Lycopodiopsida; Selaginellales; Selaginellaceae. The record is from miRBase by way of RNAcentral.
CUGCCUCUUUGCUUCAGGAAU